GGGUCUGUAGCUCAGUUGGUUAGAGCGCACCCCUGAUAAGGGUGAGGUCGGCAGUUCNCUUGGCUCCACCA
Molecule: transfer RNA, 71 nt
Filed under: Pseudomonas sp. CFBP 13719
Lineage: Bacteria; Pseudomonadati; Pseudomonadota; Gammaproteobacteria; Pseudomonadales; Pseudomonadaceae
Description: tRNA-Ile
Rfam family: tRNA
About the family: Transfer RNA (tRNA) molecules are approximately 80 nucleotides in length. Their secondary structure includes four short double-helical elements and three loops (D, anti-codon, and T loops).
Source: RNAcentral